RNAcentral lists this long non-coding RNA (1336 nucleotides) under Salmo salar (Atlantic salmon). RNAcentral's name for it is "lncRNA (ENSSSAG00000113303.1)". The record is from RNAcentral. Lineage: Eukaryota; Metazoa; Chordata; Actinopteri; Salmoniformes; Salmonidae.
AUCCCCAACCCCUAGAUCUUGAUCUGGAUCCCCAACCCCUAGACCUUGAUCUGGAUCCCCAACCCCUAGACCUUGAUCUGGAUCCCCAACCCCUAGACCUUGAUCUGGAUCCCCAACCCCUAGAUCUUGACCUGGAUCCCCAACACCUAGACCUUGACCUGGAUCCCCAACCCCUAGACCUUGACCUGGAUCCCCAACCCCUGGACCUUGGCCUGGACACCCGACUCCUGGACCUUGCCCUGGAUCCCCGACCCCUAGACCUUGGCCUGGAUCCCCGACCCCUAGACCUUGGCCUGGAUCCCCGACCCCUAGACCUUGGCCUGGAUCCCCUAGACCUUGGCCUGGACCCCUGACCCCUAGACCCUGGAUAUGACUACUCAUGGCUUAACAUAGGCCACUCUAACCUCACUCCUCUGUCCUCAACUCGGAUAUGUAAUGUUAUCUCUGGACUUGCACAUUUACUGUAGUACUAGCUACAGGUUAUAGCUAGAUCAACACAUUUAGCAGCUACAGGUUAUAGCUAGAUCAACACAUUUAGCAGCUACAGGUUAUAGCUAGAUCAACACAUUUAGCAGCUACAGGUUACAGCUAGAUCAACACAUUUAGCAGCUACAGGUUAUAGCUAGCACUACUACUACCAACCUUGAGUUGUGGUUUGCUUUUGGACAAAAAAACACCACAAUCUGAAGUCUUGUUUUAAUGAAAUUUCUCUGAUUAACUUUAGGUCAAUUUAACUGACUUUUAAAAACUAUUUUUUGAAACCUGUGUUCUAAACAUGAAGUAAUGUCAUUACAUUUAGCUGAUCUUAGCCUAUUGUACAGCUCUGUUUUAAUGUGUUAUAACAUCACGUCAGUGUUAGUAUCCAUGUCAACAUCGGGACAUUCAACCUCCUGUCCAAUGAGAACUGUCGUGACAUGAUGAUUAUGGUUCAGAGUUCUUCAGUUUGUGUUGCAUUAUGGAAGAAAACAUGAGGUACAUGCGGAGAGGAUUGAAAACCUAUGGGUUCUCUUUUGGUACUUGUCUCUCAGUUGUAAAGUGUCAUUUAUUGAUUGAAUGUGUUGGAGACUGAAUUGUAUUGUCAUUGACUCACAUCAGCCGGGACCUGGUGUGGUUUUAUCAUUCAUGAGAAAAUAUUCUUCAAAACAACGUCUGUUUUUGAAUUGUGUCCGUUUUAACACCACCUCAAAUGGUACUGUAUCACAACAUUCACUGUUACAUUUUCUAUAAUUUGUUUUGUUUCUACCAAGCUUUGCUGUUUAGAAAUGUAUGGACAACUUGGUUGAUUACAUGGUUCAAUGUCUAUAAAGAAAGAUAUAAAUAAUGGCAUUAUGUAUUG